This 950-nucleotide ribosomal RNA is filed under the name Escherichia coli. RNAcentral's name for it is "bacterial SSU rRNA". It matches the Rfam family "Bacterial small subunit ribosomal RNA", at positions 1 to 932 of the family's 1533-position model. RNAcentral also lists the same sequence under 1 other name. The record is from RNAcentral. Lineage: Bacteria; Pseudomonadati; Pseudomonadota; Gammaproteobacteria; Enterobacterales; Enterobacteriaceae.
UUUAUGGAGAGUUUGAUCCUGGCUCAGGAUGAACGCUGGCGGCGUGCCUAAUACAUGCAAGUCGAGCGAACGGACGAGAAGCUUGCUUCUCUGAUGUUAGCGGCGGACGGGUGAGUAACACGUGGAUAACCUACCUAUAAGACUGGGAUAACUUCGGGAAACCGGAGCUAAUACCGGAUAAUAUUUUGAACCGCAUGGUUCAAAAGUGAAAGACGGUCUUGCUGUCACUUAUAGAUGGAUCCGCGCUGCAUUAGCUAGUUGGUAAGGUAACGGCUUACCAAGGCAACGAUGCAUAGCCGACCUGAGAGGGUGAUCGGCCACACUGGAACUGAGACACGGUCCAGACUCCUACGGGAGGCAGCAGUAGGGAAUCUUCCGCAAUGGGCGAAAGCCUGACGGAGCAACGCCGCGUGAGUGAUGAAGGUCUUCGGAUCGUAAAACUCUGUUAUUAGGGAAGAACAUAUGUGUAAGUAACUGUGCACAUCUUGACGGUACCUAAUCAGAAAGCCACGGCUAACUACGUGCCAGCAGCCGCGGUAAUACGUAGGUGGCAAGCGUUAUCCGGAAUUAUUGGGCGUAAAGCGCGCGUAGGCGGUUUUUUAAGUCUGAUGUGAAAGCCCACGGCUCAACCGUGGAGGGUCAUUGGAAACUGGAAAACUUGAGUGCAGAAGAGGAAAGUGGAAUUCCAUGUGUAGCGGUGAAAUGCGCAGAGAUAUGGAGGAACACCAGUGGCGAAGGCGACUUUCUGGUCUGUAACUGACGCUGAUGUGCGAAAGCGUGGGGAUCAAACAGGAUUAGAUACCCUGGUAGUCCACGCCGUAAACGAUGAGUGCUAAGUGUUAGGGGGUUUCCGCCCCUUAGUGCUGCAGCUAACGCAUUAAGCACUCCGCCUGGGGAGUACGACCGCAAGGUUGAAACUCAAAGGAAUUGACGGGGACCCGCACAAGCGG